Molecule: ribosomal RNA, 253 nt
Filed under: uncultured prokaryote
Description: partial 16S ribosomal RNA
Rfam family: Bacterial small subunit ribosomal RNA
Source: RNAcentral
ACAGAGGGUGCGAGCGUUAAUCGGAAUUACUGGGCGUAAAGCGCACGUAGUCGGCUUUGCAAGUCGGGUGUGAAAUCCCCGGGCUCAACCUGGGAACUGCAUCCGAGACUGCAUUGCUAGAGUAUGGGAGAGGGAAGCGGAAUUUCUGGUGUAGCAGUGAAAUGCGUAGAUAUCAGGAGGAACACCGGUGGCGAAGGCGCACAUCUGGCCCGAUACUGACGCUGAGGCGCGAAAGCUAGGGGAGCAAACGGGA